RNAcentral lists this ribosomal RNA (464 nucleotides) under uncultured Klebsiella sp. RNAcentral describes it as "bacterial SSU rRNA". It matches the Rfam family "Bacterial small subunit ribosomal RNA", at positions 338 to 795 of the family's 1533-position model. Lineage: Bacteria; Pseudomonadati; Pseudomonadota; Gammaproteobacteria; Enterobacterales; Enterobacteriaceae. The record is from RNAcentral.
CCUACGGGUGGCAGCAGUGGGGAAUAUUGCACAAUGGGCGCAAGCCUGAUGCAGCCAUGCCGCGUGUGUGAAGAAGGCCUUCGGGUUGUAAAGCACUUUCAGCGGGGAGGAAGGCGGUGAGGUUAAUAACCUCAUCGAUUGACGUUACCCGCAGAAGAAGCACCGGCUAACUCCGUGCCAGCAGCCGCGGUAAUACGGAGGGUGCAAGCGUUAAUCGGAAUUACUGGGCGUAAAGCGCACGCAGGCGGUCUGUCAAGUCGGAUGUGAAAUCCCCGGGCUCAACCUGGGAACUGCAUUCGAAACUGGCAGGCUAGAGUCUUGUAGAGGGGGGUAGAAUUCCAGGUGUAGCGGUGAAAUGCGUAGAGAUCUGGAGGAAUACCGGUGGCGAAGGCGGCCCCCUGGACAAAGACUGACGCUCAGGUGCGAAAGCGUGGGGAGCAAACAGGAUUAGAACCCGAGUAGUC